This 68-nucleotide transfer RNA is filed under the name Potamochoerus porcus (red river hog). Its description in RNAcentral is "tRNA-Cys". It matches the Rfam family "tRNA". From Rfam's summary of the family: Transfer RNA (tRNA) molecules are approximately 80 nucleotides in length. Their secondary structure includes four short double-helical elements and three loops (D, anti-codon, and T loops). Further hydrogen bonds mediate the characteristic L-shaped molecular structure. tRNAs have two regions of fundamental functional importance: the anti-codon, which is responsible for specific mRNA codon recognition, and the 3' end, to which the tRNAs corresponding amino acid is attached (by aminoacyl-tRNA synthetases). tRNAs cope with the degeneracy of the genetic code in two manners: having more than one tRNA (with a specific anti-codon) for a particular amino acid; and 'wobble' base-pairing, i.e. permitting non-standard base-pairing at the 3rd anti-codon position. Lineage: Eukaryota; Metazoa; Chordata; Mammalia; Artiodactyla; Suidae. The record is from RNAcentral.
AGGUUCCGUAGUGAAAUACCAUAUUGAAUUGCAAAUUCAAAGAAGCAGCUUCAAUUCUGCCGGGACUU